AGUGAACGCUGGCGGUAGGCCUAACACAUGCAAGUCGAACGGCAGCACAGUAAGAGCUUGCUCUUACGGGUGGCGAGUGGCGGACGGGUGAGGAAUACAUCGGAAUCUACUUUUUCGUGGGGGAUAACGUAGGGAAACUUACGCUAAUACCGCAUACGACCUACGGGUGAAAGCAGGGGAUCUUCGGACCUUGCGCGAUUGAAUGAGCCGAUGUCGGAUUAGCUAGUUGGCGGGGUAAAGGCCCACCAAGGCGACGAUCCGUAGCUGGUCUGAGAGGAUGAUCAGCCACACUGGAACUGAGACACGGUCCAGACUCCUACGGGAGGCAGCAGUGGGGAAUAUUGGACAAUGGGCGCAAGCUUGAUCCAGCCAUACCGCGUGGGUGAAGAAGGCCUUCGGGUCGUAAAGCCCUUUUGUUGGGAAAGAAAAGCAGUAGGUGAAUCCCCCGCUGUUCUGACGGUACCCAAAGAAUAAGCACCGGCUAACUUCGUG
This 492-nucleotide ribosomal RNA is filed under the name uncultured bacterium. RNAcentral's name for it is "partial 16S ribosomal RNA". It matches the Rfam family "Bacterial small subunit ribosomal RNA", at positions 29 to 507 of the family's 1533-position model. The record is from RNAcentral.